Long non-coding RNA from Onychostoma macrolepis, 1898 nucleotides. RefSeq lists it as uncharacterized. NCBI's taxonomy places the organism in Eukaryota, Metazoa, Chordata, Actinopteri, Cypriniformes, Cyprinidae. The transcript has 5 exons. The record is from RefSeq and is a predicted model, not a curated record.
UUAUAUUUUUAUCACUUUAAACAACAGAGCGUCAUAGUAAGAUAGAGAUUCAACAGAACAAAUAAGUAAAAUAAGUGUUCAUGUCAAAAAACCUGAACCGAUACAGUCCUUUUCUUCUCUUCCUUUUUCAAUAUUUAAGUAUUAUGGGGGCAUUUGUUUAAUAGGAAUUUUUUUUUCUUUUUUCUGGCAGGUCAGUAAACCAAAGACAGACCACUUUGUGAUGUUCAUUCAUCGUGAGUUAUAGGCAGAAAGUUUAAGCUCAUCUGCUACUUCACGGUUUGAUUCAGCAAUGCACAAAUGUUUGUUGUGAAGAAAUAUUGCAAUUGCUUAGAAGCAAAUUACUUUGAAUCAGUUUGUCUGUUAGCCUAAAGACUAGCUUAAUUUAGCAAAACAAUAAUUUCAGGGACAUGGCGAGUUACAGGCUAAUGUUUUUUUUUUUUUUUUCCUGUGCAUUAUAAUGAAGGCUUUGUAAAAACUGCACAGCGUUUUUAGCUUUUUAAACAACAUACUCCAUCCUACACUAACUACGCACACAUUUCCUAUCACGUAUGCCUAUGAAAGACGAUCGAACCAAUCAGAGUAGGUGUGGGGCGGGGCGACACGUGCAGCCCCGCCCUGAUUUCCAGGCUGCAGACAGGGGCUUCUCGCAUACUGCUGCAUAAGAUUUUGUUUUUCUGAGGCUCCUCUAGGCAAUAGCGUCUGUCUGCGGACUGCAAGAGAGGGGCGUAACUGGAAGGAGGCAUAACUUGAAGAAAGGGGCGUAACUUGAAGUUGUCCAAAUCACACAGAACCACGCGAGAUGUCAAAACGAGAUGUUAUUGGCAAGAUGGCCGCUUGUAUAUUGACAAGGGACAGAUGAGACACACGAGUGUAUAUCCGGUGCAGAGUGACUGAUGAAGGAAUGCUGCCAUCAAAGACUCUCAAUCUUCUGUGGUGGAGCAGGACCUGCAAGACAAGGUGACAGCGACAUUUGUGGAAAAAAGGGAAAACCUGAAACAAAAGGAUAAAGCUGCUGUGAGCGCUGAGGAUGGAGAGUCCACAGCAGCAUCCUGGAAAUGAUCCAGUGCCAUGAAUGAGACGCUCCAACACUGCACCUGCCCUCAGCUGUGGUCUCUUCAUCAUCAGUGACCCCAGAGCCAGCGAGAACAUCUAGAGAAAGACCAAAAGACAUCGAGGAUGUGACAUUGGUCAAGUUUAUUCUGCUGGUCUCUGUUCAUACAGUGAAGGCUGACUUUCAGAAGCUUCACAAGCAUCAUCAAAAAAUAGUCAUGAAGCUUUUAUCGAAAGUGAUUUCCAGUGCUGUUAUUACAGGGACCUACAAUCCCCUGGAUCAACCUGGAGAAAAGAGCCUUGCUGAAGGACACGCCAGUGACGAACCAGCAACCUUCUGCUCACCAGUUCAGUGGUUUAGCCAACUACAGAAGUAGUGGUGCUCAUGGAGAGCAGCACACGAAUGUUUGAAGCAGACACAGAUUAUCCCGCACAUGUUCUCCUGCUCUUGCCUCAAGGUUGUGUGGUUCAGGGGUGUCAUCAUGGUCUUCCUCAUCCUCUGGGUCAACGAUGUCCUCAUUGAGAAGAGCAAGAUUGUGAAGCACAGCACAGCUGCAGAACUGGCUCAGCUGUGUUGAGAUGACUGUAGGAUGUGGGUUCACCGUCUGUAAAAACAUGAUUGUUAGAACAAUAAGUUUGAAUGAAGCUUUGUUUCAUCUGUUGUUGACUUGUAUAUUGUAUGUAUUUAUUGUGAUGCUUCCUUUUAUUCAUUCUUAUACUUAUUUAUUCAUGUUUCUUAUUGUUGUCAUUAAAUAAAAUAUAUUUUAAUGUAUUAAUUGCUUGACUGAAAAUUGAUGUAUUCACUUCGACUGCAUUUGUUCAACUAGUGUAUAUUCAUGUAUAGCCAU